RNAcentral lists this unclassified non-coding RNA (192 nucleotides) under Veronaea brunnea. RNAcentral describes it as "Exophiala brunnea sequence contains ITS2". The record is from RNAcentral. RNAcentral also lists the same sequence under 1 other name. Lineage: Eukaryota; Fungi; Ascomycota; Eurotiomycetes; Chaetothyriales; Herpotrichiellaceae.
UCACCCCUCAAGCCCCCGGCUUGGUGUUGGACGGUUUGGCGGAGGCCCCCCGGGGCCCUCUGCCCCUCCCAAAGACAAUGACGGCGGCCUCGUUGGACCCCCGGUACACUGAGUUCUUCACGGGACACGUACUGGAGUAAGGGUGCGCGGGGCACGGUCUGCCUCCCCUCAGGGAGAAUCUUUUAACUACAA